RNAcentral lists this transfer RNA (72 nucleotides) under Phrynosoma platyrhinos (Desert horned lizard). RNAcentral describes it as "tRNA-OTHER". Lineage: Eukaryota; Metazoa; Chordata; Lepidosauria; Squamata; Phrynosomatidae. The record is from RNAcentral.
GCCAGUGUAGUUUAGUGGUUUGAGUGCUGGAUUAUGACUCUGGAAACCAGAGUUCGAUUCCCAGCUCGGCCA